This 916-nucleotide unclassified non-coding RNA is filed under the name uncultured Bordetella sp. RNAcentral's name for it is "partial 16S-23S ribosomal RNA intergenic spacer". It matches the Rfam family "Bacterial small subunit ribosomal RNA", at positions 574 to 1499 of the family's 1533-position model. The record is from RNAcentral. Lineage: Bacteria; Pseudomonadati; Pseudomonadota; Betaproteobacteria; Burkholderiales; Alcaligenaceae.
GGCGGUUCCGGAAAGAAAGAUGUGAAAUCCCAGAGCUUAACUGGAACUGCAUUUUUAACUACCGAGCUAGAGUGUGUCAGAGGGAGGUGGAAUUCCGCGUGUAGCAGUGAAAUGCGUAGAUAUGCGGAGGAACACCGAUAGCGAAGGCAGCCUCCUAGGAUAACACUGACGCUCAUGCACGAAAGCGUGGGGAGCAAACAGGAUUAGAUACCCUGGUAGUCCACCCCCAACGAUCUUAACUAAGCUGUUGGGGCCUUCGGGCCUUGGUAGCGCAGCUAACGCGUGAAGUUGACCGCCUGGGGAGUACGGUCGCAAGAUUAAAACUCAAAGGAAUUGACGGGGACCCGCACAAGCGGUGGAUGAGUGUAGUUAAUUCGAUGCAACGCGAAAAACCUUACCUACCCUUGACAUGGAAUCCCGAAGAGAUUUGGGAGUGCUCGCAAGAGAACCGGAACACAGGUGCUGCAUGGGCUGUGUCAGCUCGUGUCGUGAGAUGUUGGGUUAGAUCCACAACGAGCACCGCCACUUGUCAUUAGUUGCUACGAAAGGGCACUCUAAUGAGACUGCCGGUGACAAACCGGAGGAAGGUGGGGAUGACGUCAAGUCCUCAUGGCCCUUAUGGGUGAGGGCUUCACACGUCAUACAAUGGUCAGGACAGAGAGGUCGCCCAACCCGCGAGGGAGCCAAUCCCAGAAACCCGAUCGUAGUCCGGAUCGCGGUCUGCAACUCGACUGCGUGAAGUCGGAAUCGCUAUUAAUCGCGGUCAGCAUGUCGCGGUGAAUACGUUCCCGAGGUCUUGUACACCGCCCGUCACACCAUGGGAGUGGGUUUUACCAGAGAAGUAGUUAGCCUAAGUAUGCCGGAGGGCGAUUACCACGGUAGGAUUCAUGACUGGGGUGAAGUCGUAACAAGGUAG